Molecule: long non-coding RNA, 224 nt
Organism: Melospiza melodia melodia
Lineage: Eukaryota; Metazoa; Chordata; Aves; Passeriformes; Passerellidae
Exons: 3
Source: RefSeq, a predicted model, not a curated record
AUGUCACUGAUGAUGUCCCCAAUGUCCCCAGGUGCCCUGUGCCACUGCACGCAGUCCCUGCGGCAGCGCCUGGACGAGCUGUGCCUGUCCCCAAUGAUGUCCCCAGUGAUGUCCCCAAUGUCCCCAAUGUCCCCAUGUUGUCCCCAGGUGCCCUGUGCCACUGCACGCAGUCCCCAGUGAUGUCCCCAAUGAUGUCCCCAAUGUCCCCAGGUGCCCUGUGCCAC